GGAGAGGUGCCAGAGCGGUUGAACGGGGCGGUCUCGAAAACCGUUGACCACGCAAGUGGUCCGAGGGUUCGAAUCCCUCCCUCUCCG
This 87-nucleotide transfer RNA is filed under the name Candidatus Auribacter fodinae. Its description in RNAcentral is "Candidatus Aureabacteria bacterium SURF_26 tRNA-Ser". It matches the Rfam family "tRNA". Rfam says of the family: Transfer RNA (tRNA) molecules are approximately 80 nucleotides in length. Their secondary structure includes four short double-helical elements and three loops (D, anti-codon, and T loops). Lineage: Bacteria; Pseudomonadati; Candidatus Auribacterota; Candidatus Auribacteria; Candidatus Auribacterales; Candidatus Auribacteraceae. The record is from RNAcentral.